GUCGUCCAUGGCCCACGCGGAGGAAGGAGGCGCAGAGGAGGGGAGCGAGGGGAGGACGACGGCGCUGGGGAGGAAAGGGUUCGAACCGAGCGAGGGCUCCUGCUCGCUAGGGUAGCGGGGUUAGGUGGGCCGGCCUGGAGGUCCAAGUGGCCGGCUGGGCCUUGGGCAGUUAUCUCCUCUCCCAAUAAAAAAAGGAUACGCGAAAAAAACUGAUUGUAAAAUUAAUGCGAGAGGCAAAAGAAUAGGAAAUAAACAAAUAAAAAA
Molecule: long non-coding RNA, 264 nt
Filed under: Hordeum vulgare
Lineage: Eukaryota; Viridiplantae; Streptophyta; Magnoliopsida; Poales; Poaceae
Description: long non-coding RNA (HVUL_LNC018816)
Source: RNAcentral